UACGUAGGGUGCAAGCGUUGUCCGGAAUCACUGGGCGUAAAGGGCGCGUAGGCGGCGCGGGGAGUCAACGGUGAAAGCUCGGCGCUCAACGCCGAGUCGGCCGUCGAUACUCCCGUGCUCGAGCACUGUAGAGGCAGGUGGAAUUCCGGGUGUAGCGGUGGAAUGCGUAGAGAUCCGGAAGAACACCGGUGGCGAAGGCGGCCUGCUGGGCAGUAGCUGACGCUGAGGCGCGACAGCGUGGGGAGCAAACAGG
Molecule: ribosomal RNA, 253 nt
Filed under: uncultured bacterium
Lineage: Bacteria
Description: partial 16S ribosomal RNA
Rfam family: Bacterial small subunit ribosomal RNA
Source: RNAcentral